This is a non-coding RNA of Choiromyces venosus 120613-1, 76 nucleotides long. Lineage: Eukaryota; Fungi; Ascomycota; Pezizomycetes; Pezizales; Tuberaceae. The record is from the annotation of a GenBank genome assembly.
GUAAUGUUGGAGCAGUUGGUUAUCACGCCAGUCUAAAAUACUGGUGGUCCCUGGUUAGAGCCCGGACGAAAUCAGA